UACACUCCGUUCGCUGAACGCAUCUCUGCACAGAGUGCGCGCCGCACACCCUAAAUAACUCAAUCCGAUUCCAUCUACAGCUCUUACAGCCAAUGAGAAUAUGGCUGUUCGGGCAAGCUAGCCAAUGGGAUAGAUCCAUGAUUUGAUUCGUCCCCGCACGUGCGGCUCGGUGACGGUGACUUGUCACUCGAUUGCAUUGGUCAUCAACCGUCUUUUUUACAUGACCACGGAAUCAAAAACAUCAACAACAGCAAAUGAGUGGCGUGUUACGAUCGAAAACACAGUCGUCAUGAGCAAGAGGAAGCAAGAGGGUUGCAGAGACAUUCGGCAAUUUUUUGCCUCGUCUCAGAAAAGAAGCAAAAGUAGAGCUAGUGAGCCAGCGGGAGAGACAGAAAGUUUGGAGGAUGAAAGCACAGGGAGAGUUUGUCAAUCUAGUGGUGGCAUAGAGGUGAGUCGCCUAAGAGAGGAGUAAUAUGAAAGGUUAAGAACGAAUCAUGACAUUCAAGCAGAAUCCUGUUAGCACACAUGUAUAUAGUGUAGGGUUGUCAAAAAAAUUUAUACUCAGAUACUAAUCGAUUAAAAUUAAAAAAAAUAAUAUCGGAUUAGAUACUUAUGUGCAACAGUAUCGAUACUAAAAUCACUGUCUUCAUCAUCUUCAUCUCUUUUUUUUUCUCGCCUCCUUCAGUUGACACACAACUUUACACAGCAGCGUUGCAGUUGCUAAUAUAGCAAUAUAAUAAUUAUCAAGUCAAGUUUCAUUCAAGGUUACAAAACAUUGUAUAAUGUAUGUAUUCAUAGAUUAAUCCAUUACUAAUCAGAAAACAUUUAGGUUAUGUCCUUGACAUG
Gadus morhua (Atlantic cod) is the source of this 846-nucleotide long non-coding RNA. RefSeq lists it as uncharacterized. NCBI's taxonomy places the organism in Eukaryota, Metazoa, Chordata, Actinopteri, Gadiformes, Gadidae. The transcript has 3 exons. The record is from RefSeq and is a predicted model, not a curated record.